RNAcentral lists this ribosomal RNA (254 nucleotides) under uncultured bacterium. RNAcentral describes it as "partial 16S ribosomal RNA". It matches the Rfam family "Bacterial small subunit ribosomal RNA", at positions 524 to 776 of the family's 1533-position model. The record is from RNAcentral.
UACGUAGGGUGCAAGCGUUAAUCGGAAUUACUGGGCGUAAAGCGUGCGCAGGCGGUUUUGUAAGUUUGUCGUGAAAUCCCCGGGCUCACUCUGGGAAUGGGCGAUGAAGACUGCAAGGCUAGAAUCUGGCAGAGGGGGGUAGAAUUCCACGUGUAGCAGUGAAAUGCGUAGAUAUGUGGAGGAACACCGAUGGCGAAGGCAGCCCCCUGGGUCAAGAUUGACGCUCAUGCACGAAAGCGUGGGGAGCAAACAGG